UCUCUUUGUUUUCUCAAUGUUCUAAUUUUUAAAUAAACAUACUUCCCAGUAAUGUCCUCUUCUCUAUACGGUUGUUGUAAUCUUACAUCUCUUACUUUCAGGCCACAACAAAAUGUUUCAGGUCUUCUUAUUCUGCCCUACACAUCACAUAAUAAUCAUGAAAUUCAUCCAUAAGUACAGCAUUAGGUCUGCACUGAAAAAGAAUAGAAGAUAUGCAGAUUACAGAAUACUUAUCAUGCAUGAGUGAAACGCCAGCAAGCAAGGAAAGAAUAAUGUUACGAACGUGUACAUGCAGCAGCCCUACAGGCGAGCACAUGAGCAUGCUAUGUGUAUGAGGUAGCCUCAUGUGAGUAUAUAUGAGUGCAUGUGUGGGUGAUCUAGCUAGUGGGGUUGUGUGGUUCGUUGUCCAGGGACUGGUGCCGUUACCUGCAGCGCCAAAUGGAAGGAGAACUGACACAAGCCUAAGUUGACCUCUGAGGCCCUGGAGUCACGAGGGUGUCCGUGUGCGUGUGUGUUUGUAACAAUUAGCUAACCAUGGAAUAAUUAUUAUAUGGUACCGUUUAAUUGCAGUUCUGUGAGUGCGAGUGCAUGUAUAGUAUAAGUAACAAUUAUCCUUACCAGUAUUGAUAAUCUGUAUGCUAGAAUAGGUGUAGUUAAGUGUCGCCUGCUAGAGGUGGUGACAUGGGAGGCAGGCUUUAAGACACUCUGAUACAGAGAUCGAGAGAGGUUAUCGAGACCACGACGUGACAGGAAGUGCGAGUCGAGUUUGCGUGUGACUGACCGCGACGUGACAGGACGUGCGAGUCGAGUUUGCGUGUGACUGACGGUGCGCCCUGCCGUUAGAGCUGCGAGCAAUCGGGCCACUUUUUCUCGGAAGUGCCAGCACCCGAGAUCCGUACAGGUUGGCCACGAUCAGGAAAACAGCGCCCGGCUGGGGAGAGGGGCAAGUUACCAUCUACCAGUCACCUUCCCGACCCCACUCUUGCUGAGCGGCCGCCACCUUGACGCUCCCGCCGCCGUCCCAACCGUCCAGGUUAAUGGGCGACCGUGUCUCCUCACUGUGGGUACUGGAGCAGGAAGGACGUCGUCAGAAAGGACAUCAUUCUGGCGCGGGGCCUUCCUUUCGCCUCACAGAGGAUGUGUGAAGUGAUGGGCAGUGCUCAGCUGCAGGGGUCCAGUGGAGGCGCGUCUAGUGGUUGGCGGUAAGGACGUGCACCUACCAGUGUUAGUGGCUGACCUUGAGGACUCAUGCCUCCUGGGCCUUGACUAUACCUGACGAAGAUUCAGGCGUGUAUCGAUUUCUGGAAGGGAACCGUAAAGGUACCGGAUGCUGUGGCUCCCCUGCUCCCGAGUAACUACUGACCCGAGGUGGUCACAGGAGUUAUGUGAGUCAUGGGAAGGUGACAAGCAACACUGAGGGGUAGUGACUGGCACGGUCAGGACUACUUGCCUCAACACAACAGCCCAAGCUACACAUGGACAGCCACCCGCCCUCACCGUUCCUACCCACCAGCACUGGGCACUCGGCUCACCGGGACAUGCCUGCCUCCCUAAGGGGCCACCAGGUGUUCUGGUUACUUGUAUCAAAGCAUUUGUUAGGUGGGCAUUACUAAUGAGGAAAAGCAACAUUAAAUAAAAUUUGAUCAGUCUUAUUAAAAAAAAAUUGUAUGUAGCACAAAAGAUCAGUACUUUCUCUUGCCUAACACCUUUCUUGACACUCACAGACUAGCUCAGCAGGUCAGAUCAUCACACGUUGAUCCAGACUUUGAAAUUUACUGACUGUUGACUGACCAAGCAAAUGGCUAAUUAUUAGUUGAUGGAAGACAGUGUUUAUAAAUAUAAUGUGUAGAAAAGAUUUGAAACACAUAUCAUAUAUAUUUAUAUAUAUACACAAAUAUCUAAAUAUAUAGACAUACAUGUAGAUAUCUAUAAUAUAUAUACAAUAAACACACAAAUAUACAUACAUAUACAAGAUGGAAAUGAAGACACUGAAAAUCAAUAGAAACAAUACAACUGUUUAUAAAAAUGAGAUGAGGCUAUGAUGAUUAACAAACAUUUGUGGCAUGUAGCUUUGGGGUUGUGGUGACUAGUGGUGGCCUGGCUGCCCCUCUCCUCCAGGUCACGGCCUCUAGCGGGAGCACUUUUCACUUUGCUUGGUGUCCUUAAUGCUUAUAUCACACUUGCUAGAGUUCACAAGUCUGUCACCUGAUAAUGACUUGCUAGGUAUUUACACUUCCACUGGAAUGCACUAUCGUCACUUCAGUCACACGAGAUAUCCAACGCUUCAAAUCUUUUCUGAAUAAGAGAUCUCGACAAUCUUUGGAAAGAGAGGAAAACCAUUCUUCACAGCACAAUUCAUAGUAUCAAAUAACACAGUGUGUAAUCUGUUAAUAUUCUUUAAAAUAUCAACUAUUUUAAACAAUAUAGAUUAUGGAGGAUUAUGAAACACUGACAGCAAAAUAAUGGCAAUGGAUUAUGUCUUUGGCCACUAUGAAAACAAUGUAUGCAUGGGUAGCCUCUAUGUUAAGGGGUACUACCCGUAGUUUGAUCACUCGGUGCUAAACUCUUUAGGGUGUGACAAUACAACUUUUUAAACAACUUUCCUUUGCUAGUCCUGAAAUGGCUUUGUACCACGGAGUAAGAAAUGAGGCUCCUAAUGUCUACUACCAGUGUUCAGUCAGCUAACAUUG
Long non-coding RNA from Scylla paramamosain (green mud crab), 2690 nucleotides. RefSeq lists it as uncharacterized. The record is from RefSeq and is a predicted model, not a curated record. Lineage: Eukaryota; Metazoa; Arthropoda; Malacostraca; Decapoda; Portunidae. The transcript has 2 exons.